Molecule: long non-coding RNA, 1651 nt
Organism: Carya illinoinensis
Lineage: Eukaryota; Viridiplantae; Streptophyta; Magnoliopsida; Fagales; Juglandaceae
Exons: 3
Source: RefSeq, a predicted model, not a curated record
CACCGCUUAGGGCCUCCACCUCACGCUGUUACUCGAUGCUGCAGUCGACUGAAACAUACUCUGUUUUUCUAUUCCGAAACAGAGCAUUCUGCCAACCACCACGGAAGCCCAGUCCUCCACCACCCUCUCGGCUGCUCCAUGUCGUGCUGUGCCGCCGCAUAUCCUCCAUCCCGUAGUCUCUAUCCCCGACGACUUGUGCUCUAACCAGUGGCUCUUUGCCCCUCUUGGUAAGACCUUCAAACUACCACCUCUCAUCCUCUUCUCUCCACCGUUGGUCAAUAUCACGAAACCUAACCUUUCCCCCCACUAUACAGAGCUCGUGCCUCCGUGAGCCACCAUCACAGGGUAUCUCCACCUUCUCGGCUGUUCUCUUGGUAAAACUCUCACUUUCUUUCUCUAACUUGGUCCCUCCCUCAAGUUUGGUUUCUCUCACCGUAUUCUCUUUUUCGUGGGGGUGUUUCGUGUUUCAUCUUUAGGAAUGUUUCAACGUACCGUUUUAUUAUUAUACACGUGGAGGAACGGGUAGGGGGUUCCCAACUCCGUGUGCAAGUAGAGUUUUUCUAUCUCCCCGUCUCCGUCGGAUUGCGUUUGUUUUUCAGGAAGUAGCGAAUCUAGGGUCUGGAAAAACCUCAUUCGGGUAAAAUCUUCGUCAAAUUUCGACUAAAUUCGAGGUACGAUUUCGUGCGGUUCUGUAUAUGUAUUUGACAUUGUUGCCUCUCUUCGACCAAACGACACCGUUAAUCUGCCAGGAAACGCCUCAGAAGCAGUUGUGGUUUUCAUCUGCUUAGGAAAUAGCUACCUCUACAAUAUGAUCGUUGACUUGUACACAUUGUUCACCAUCUGUUACGACUCGUAGCUAUAGCCCAUGGGAAAUCUUGACCUUCCCAUAAACUAUUAACACUCCUUCAAACUGCCACACAGAGGAUCAUCCGAUUGGUGAGCUGCUCCAGUGUAUGCCGGAGUAUGAUUGAAUUAGACUCAAGAACAUGAAAACUUUACCUGGAAGGCCGAAGAAGCAGUUCCAAAGACGAACCCAUCUGGGAAAUCAAGCCUACUAACUGAUUCUGAGGUCACAAAGAAACGGGUUAGAAGAAAGAAAAUAAGGCUGACUUCCAUUGUGAAAGGUUUUGGAUAGAAUAUGAUCUUCUUCUUUUUUAAAUUUCUCAACGAGUUUCAGAUCAAAUUGCAGGUUAUUCAAGAAGGGGGAAGCACAGUUGAUUAUCUUAGUUGUAAGGGCGAAGAAUAUGGUCGAAGAAGAAAUGAGCAAGAGUGAGACUGGAAACUAUAGUACAUGAAGUUUUUCUUGGAUAUUUUAGAGGAGCACGGGGAAGUUGGCUGAAAAAAACUUUAUUAACUUUACCUUUUGUGUGCACGUUAUGCAAUAUACGUACAGGGAGGUCGUCUUCUCCCCUGGAUAACAGGGGAGGAUGCAUGCUCUACAAUUGUACAGAUAACAUCUGGACAAGAACAGCAAGUGCUUGUGUCUUUUUUUUUUUUUUUUAACUGUUUGUAAAAAAAAUAAAAAUAAAAAUAUUUACUUACCAUGUCACGUCAAUGUCAAAAAGUUAUUUAUAUUUUUCUUUUUUUGUAAUUAUUAUGUAUUGUACAGUGAGUAGGAGUAGGAGUGCUAGUAAAUCAAUCGGUUUCAGUU